GACCACAUAGCUGGUGGUUUUCUCAAAAAUUUAAUUUCCUUAGCGGCGGCUUUUUGUCUUUACCUUUGCUCUCUUUUAAGUUUGCCCUUCGAGUGUACAGAGAAAACAACUGUAAGACUUUUUCACUCCAAAUUUUCAUUGCAACUCUCAGAGACAAGAUGAAUCCAGAGCACUUGAGAAAGCUUGAACUGGUACUGGCUAGGAAGAAGCA
Molecule: long non-coding RNA, 211 nt
Filed under: Elaeis guineensis (African oil palm)
Lineage: Eukaryota; Viridiplantae; Streptophyta; Magnoliopsida; Arecales; Arecaceae
Description: long non-coding RNA (EGUI_LNC038512)
Source: RNAcentral